This 68-nucleotide transfer RNA is filed under the name Halocynthia roretzi. RNAcentral's name for it is "tRNA-Thr". The record is from RNAcentral. Lineage: Eukaryota; Metazoa; Chordata; Ascidiacea; Stolidobranchia; Pyuridae.
UAGUCUUUAGUUUAUAAUUUAAAAUGUGGGCUUUGUAAGCCUAGGAGAGGUGGUUUCACUAAGAUUAG